UCCCUGUAGGAGGACCCUGCUCUACCUUUUUAAGACCAAUGCAGUGCCCAAGGCAGUGGGGGAGAGAGGCAGGACUCCUCUAUUAGUACAAGUCCUUAGUGACAUUAAAAGAGGUGGUACGUUCUUCUGAUAUGGGGGAGUUAUAGCUAACUCACAUCAGUGUUAUUCAUAUUUGUAUAGGAAACUUGGCUUUCAGAGUACACAGUGGUAUGUAUAGACUCCUCCAUGUACGCAGUCCUGGGAAAUGAUGCAUCAAACAACACCUUCUGCAGACAAUUUUGAAGAAGCUGGAAAACCUACUAGCAGUGUUACACCAGUUUUCAUCAAUGGUGGUCAUCAUCAUGUUCCAGCAGACUUCAUCUCUCCACUUUAAUUUGAUCAAAAAUAUCCUGUGAUGAAAACAACUUUGGCAGCAGUACCAGAAAGAAUAAGGUCUUGUAGGCAUGAUGGGAAGCUCUAGAUAAGUAGCAUGAUAAAUGCUUGUGUCCUUCUUUUCAUAGUGCUGAUAUUUCUACUUCAGCCAGUGCUGUCUACCUGAUUGCUGUCCACCACCUCAAGACUCUUUAUCAGGAGGCUGAAUCCUCUGGUUGGCAGAACUUUGUCUUUACCUAUGGAGAAGUCACUCCUCUUCCUUCUAUGUUAUUUUGUCUACAACAUCAGUUCAAAUUCAUGUUUCUCAUGAUAUUCAAGAAGCUCAGAGGCAGAACUUUCCUACCUACAGUGCACUAAAUUGUACAUAUUGAUCCUACUUUCUGCUUAACAAUGGAGAACUACCUCAAACAAACUGGAAGUAGCUGUACUGGAGCUUAAUGUUGAAGGUUGAAAGUGCUGUAAAGGUGUCACAGAAGACUAAUAUUAUUGCCUAACUGUAAACAACAGAGCUUAAAAGACACUAUAAUUUUCUUCUCAUAAAACACAUUUAAUCGAAGUUUUAUUGUACCUUCAAUGUUUAUUAAGGCAAUAAUGUAAUUAUUAAUUAUUUAAGCAUGACUUUAUAAUAAAACCUGCAAUAUCAAGUGUCCUGCCACCAGUUAUCUAGUUCAAAUGGAGUUUGCAUAUACCACUGCAGGAGAAAAGCUAUGUUCUGUCUCCAGAUUGACAAAGUUAGUAGAGUAGCAAGCAAUUUUCUAUAGAUAUGGCCAAAUUCAACUCUUUCCAUAUUGCCCCAGACAAUUCAGAAAAAGCUUCAAAUAGCUACAUCGGAUUAGGAAUUGGUCCAAGUGGUACUGUGGGCAGUUGUCACUAUCUUUUUUUUAAAAGGAUUGAUUCAGCUUUCCUAAAAUUCAUUUGAACAAAAUCUGUCAAUCUGCUUUGUAGGUAAUGUCUGACAAUUUGAUGGAUGGAUCGCAUUUUCUGAUAUUAGCAGAAAAAGAGAACACUUCUCUCCACAGAAAAGGGCUAUAAGAUUUGUGUGGAAUGUACCUUCCUCUUCUGUCAAGGCAAUUGAAUGAUUACUAUAAUAAUAAUAAGUAAUGUUAGACCAGAGGCAAAAGAUUCAAAAGUUAAUCCCUGACCCUCAUAGGAUCUCCCUGAAGACGGUGCAGCAUUCUUCAUGAUAAGGAGUGAUGUUUUCACUUCAGUAGUGAUUAGACAGGGAUAUACAUUGCAAACACAGAAAUAGUCACAGAAAUGUACUGUCAUGCUGACAGUGUCAACAAAAUAGGAAUGAAAUGUCUGGGCAGAAGUAAUACAGAAACACUUAUUCUCCCAAUCUUCUUCUAUCUCUGAGCUGCAGGCUACUGGGGGAAUAUUGCAUCAUGCUCACCCAUUCUGGAACAGCCAAAAUAUUAAAACAGGGGAUCAUAUUUAGUAACCCACAAUGACUCCAGUACUCAGAGUAAAGGGUUUCAAAGAAAGCAGCAGGGGUCCUCCACAGUUACAGAAUAAACUAGGAAAAUCCUCUUUCUAGUAUAUACUGCUUUAUUCACUCUGGGACAUCUUUCUCCAUGACUUUGCAAUGCAUGACUUUGCAUAAUCUGUUCUAAUUAAAAAAAAAAAAAAAAAAAAAAAGUAUUGUUUGACCAUGACACAGUCACAUGAUUUUUAAAAGAAAACACA
Molecule: long non-coding RNA, 2058 nt
Organism: Oxyura jamaicensis (ruddy duck)
Lineage: Eukaryota; Metazoa; Chordata; Aves; Anseriformes; Anatidae
Exons: 3
Source: RefSeq, a predicted model, not a curated record